GGGUUGUGAGGUUAAGCGACUAAGCGUACACGGUGGAUGCCCUGGCAGUCAGAGGCGAUGAAGGGCGUGCUAAUCUGCGAUAAGCGCCGGUAAGGUGAUAUGAACCGUUAUAACCGGCGAUACCCGAAUGGGGAAACCCAGUGUGACUCGUCACACUAUCAUUAACUGAAUCCAUAGGUUAAUGAGGCGAACCGGGGGAACUGAAACAUCUAAGUACCCCGAGGAAAAGAAAUCAACCGAGAUUCCCCCAGUAGCGGCGAGCGAACGGGGAGGAGCCCAGAGCCUGAAUCAGCAUGUGUGUUAGUGGAAGCGUCUGGAAAGGCGCGCGAUACAGGGUGACAGCCCCGUACACAAAAGCGCAUGUGCUGUGAGCUCGAUGAGUAGGGCGGGACACGUGGUAUCCUGUCUGAAUAUGGGGGGACCAUCCUCCAAGGCUAAAUACUCCUGACUGACCGAUAGUGAACCAGUACCGUGAGGGAAAGGCGAAAAGAACCCCGGCGAGGGGAGUGAAAAAGAACCUGAAACCGUGUACGUACAAGCAGUGGGAGCACAGGUUUACCUGUGUGACUGCGUACCUUUUGUAUAAUGGGUCAGCGACUUAUAUUCUGUAGCAAGGUUAACCGAAUAGGGGAGCCGCAGGGAAACCGAGUCUUAACCGGGCGUUAAGUUGCAGGGUAUAGACCCGAAACCCGGUGAUCUAGCCAUGGGCAGGUUGAAGGUUGGGUAACACUAACUGGAGGACCGAACCGACUAAUGUUGAAAAAUUAGCGGAUGACCUGUGGCUGGGGGUGAAAGGCCAAUCAAACCGGGAGAUAGCUGGUUCUCCCCGAAAGCUAUUUAGGUAGCGCCUCGUGAAUUCAUCUCCGGGGGUAGAGCACUGUUUCGGCUAGGGGGCCAUCCCGGCUUACCAACCCGAUGCAAACUGCGAAUACCGGAGAAUGUUAUCACGGGAGACACACGGCGGGUGCUAACGUCCGUCGUGAAGAGGGAAACAACCCAGACCGCCAGCUAAGGUCCCAAAGUCAUGGUUAAGUGGGAAACGAUGUGGGAAGGCCCAGACAGCCAGGAUGUUGGCUUAGAAGCAGCCAUCAUUUAAAGAAAGCGUAAUAGCUCACUGGUCGAGUCGGCCUGCGCGGAAGAUGUAACGGGGCUAAACCAUGCACCGAAGCUGCGGCAGCGACACUAUGUGUUGUUGGGUAGGGGAGCGUUCUGUAAGCCUGUGAAGGUGUGUCGUGAGGCAUGCUGGAGGUAUCAGAAGUGCGAAUGCUGACAUAAGUAACGAUAAAGCGGGUGAAAAGCCCGCUCGCCGGAAGACCAAGGGUUCCUGUCCAACGUUAAUCGGGGCAGGGUGAGUCGACCCCUAAGGCGAGGCCGAAAGGCGUAGUCGAUGGGAAACGGGUUAAUAUUCCCGUACUUGGUGUUACUGCGAAGGGGGGACGGAGAAGGCUAUGUUGGCCGGGCGACGGUUGUCCCGGUUUAAGCGUGUAGGUGUGUGUUCCAGGUAAAUCCGGUUCACUUUAACACUGAGGCGUGACGACGAGGCACUACGGUGCUGAAGCAACAAAUGCCCUGCUUCCAGGAAAAGCCUCUAAGCAUCAGGUAACAUCAAAUCGUACCCCAAACCGACACAGGUGGUCAGGUAGAGAAUACCAAGGCGCUUGAGAGAACUCGGGUGAAGGAACUAGGCAAAAUGGUGCCGUAACUUCGGGAGAAGGCACGCUGACACGUAGGUGAAGUGAUUUACUCACGGAGCUGAAGUCAGUCGAAGAUACCAGCUGGCUGCAACUGUUUAUUAAAAACACAGCACUGUGCAAACACGAAAGUGGACGUAUACGGUGUGACGCCUGCCCGGUGCCGGAAGGUUAAUUGAUGGGGUCAGCGCAAGCGAAGCUCCUGAUCGAAGCCCCGGUAAACGGCGGCCGUAACUAUAACGGUCCUAAGGUAGCGAAAUUCCUUGUCGGGUAAGUUCCGACCUGCACGAAUGGCGUAAUGAUGGCCAGGCUGUCUCCACCCGAGACUCAGUGAAAUUGAACUCGCUGUGAAGAUGCAGUGUACCCGCGGCAAGACGGAAAGACCCCGUGAACCUUUACUAUAGCUUGACACUGAACAUUGAGCCUUGAUGUGUAGGAUAGGUGGGAGGCUUUGAAGCGUGGACGCCAGUCUGCAUGGAGCCGACCUUGAAAUACCACCCUUUAAUGUUUGAUGUUCUAACGUGGACCCGUUACCCGGGUUGCGGACAGUGUCUGGUGGGUAGUUUGACUGGGGCGGUCUCCUCCUAAAGAGUAACGGAGGAGCACGAAGGUUGGCUAAUCCUGGUCGGACAUCAGGAGGUUAGUGCAAUGGCAUAAGCCAGCUUGACUGCGAGCGUGACGGCGCGAGCAGGUGCGAAAGCAGGUCAUAGUGAUCCGGUGGUUCUGAAUGGAAGGGCCAUCGCUCAACGGAUAAAAGGUACUCCGGGGAUAACAGGCUGAUACCGCCCAAGAGUUCAUAUCGACGGCGGUGUUUGGCACCUCGAUGUCGGCUCAUCACAUCCUGGGGCUGAAGUAGGUCCCAAGGGUAUGGCUGUUCGCCAUUUAAAGUGGUACGCGAGCUGGGUUUAGAACGUCGUGAGACAGUUCGGUCCCUAUCUGCCGUGGGCGCUGGAGAACUGAGGGGGGCUGCUCCUAGUACGAGAGGACCGGAGUGGACGCAUCACUGGUGUUCGGGUUGUCAUGCCAAUGGCACUGCCCGGUAGCUAAAUGCGGAAGAGAUAAGUGCUGAAAGCAUCUAAGCACGAAACUUGCCCCGAGAUGAGUUCUCCCUGAGACUUUAAGUCUCCUGAAGGAACGUUGAAGACGACGACGUUGAUAGGCCGGGUGUGUAAGCGCAGCGAUGCGUUGAGCUAACCGGUACUAAUGAACCGUGAGGCUUAACCUUACAACGCCGAAG
This 2928-nucleotide ribosomal RNA is filed under the name Salmonella enterica subsp. enterica. Its description in RNAcentral is "23S ribosomal RNA". It matches the Rfam family "Bacterial large subunit ribosomal RNA". The record is from RNAcentral. Lineage: Bacteria; Pseudomonadati; Pseudomonadota; Gammaproteobacteria; Enterobacterales; Enterobacteriaceae.